RNAcentral lists this ribosomal RNA (779 nucleotides) under uncultured Neocallimastigales. Its description in RNAcentral is "partial large subunit ribosomal RNA". It matches the Rfam family "Eukaryotic large subunit ribosomal RNA", at positions 26 to 627 of the family's 3401-position model. Lineage: Eukaryota; Fungi; Neocallimastigomycota; Neocallimastigomycetes; Neocallimastigales. The record is from RNAcentral.
CGUCUAUAUACGUAUAGCAUAUCAAUAAGCGGAGGAAAAGAAACUAACUAGGAUUCCCUUCAGUAACGGCGAGUGAAGCGGGAAGAGCUCAAAUUUGAAAUCUUCAAGGUUUCUACCUUGACGAAUUGUAGUUUAAAGAAGUGUUUUCUGUUGGUAGUUUUGGUAAAAGUUCUUUGGAAUAGGACAUCAUAGAGGGUGAGAAUCCCGUAUUUGACCAUUACUUUCCAACUUUGUGAUACACUUUCAAAGAGUCGGAUUGUUUGGGAAUGCAGUCCAAAAUGGGUGGUAAAUUUCAUCUAAAGCUAAAUACUUGGCGAGAGACCGAUAGCGAACAAGUACCGUGAGGGAAAGAUGAAAAGAACUUUGAAAAGAGAGUUAAACAGUACGUGAAAUUGUCAAAAGGGAAGCGUUUGACACCAGUGUUGUUUUCUCGAAAAUCAAUUAAAAAUGGCGGGAUUUUGUGUUGUAUUGACUUUAUCAGCUUUCUGCACUUUUUUCCUGUCUUUUUUAAUGCACUUUUCGUUUAACAAGUCAACAUCAAUUUCUUUUGUUGUAAAAGGGUCAUUGGAAGGUGGCUUUCUUUUCGGAGAAAGUGUUUAUAGCCUUUGGCCUCUGCAAUCGGAGAGAUUGAGGUCUGCAGCGUAGAUCCUUCGGGGUUAGAUACAUUUGUGCUAAGCUAUAGCCUUUCAUAGACAACUUGUUGACUAUGAUCAGUCAUGUAGCUUACUCGCUUAUGUCAUUUUACCUACGCUUAGGAUGUUGACGAUCAGCUGAGCGCG